Pongo abelii (Sumatran orangutan) is the source of this 35-nucleotide non-coding RNA. The record is from Rfam. Lineage: Eukaryota; Metazoa; Chordata; Mammalia; Primates; Hominidae.
GGGUUUCCUGCUUCAAAAGUGCUUGGACGGAACCU